Molecule: ribosomal RNA, 480 nt
Filed under: uncultured Verrucomicrobiaceae bacterium
Lineage: Bacteria; Pseudomonadati; Verrucomicrobiota; Verrucomicrobiia; Verrucomicrobiales; Verrucomicrobiaceae
Description: bacterial SSU rRNA
Rfam family: Bacterial small subunit ribosomal RNA
Source: RNAcentral
AAUGAACGCUGGCGGCGUGGAUAAGACAUGCAAGUCGAACGAGAAACACUUGAGCUUGCUUUGGUGUUUCUAGUGGCGGACGGGUGCGUAACACGUGAGCAACUUACCCCGAAGCGGGGGAUAGCCCACCGAAAGGUGGAUUAAUACCGCAUAAUACUUUGGUUGAAAGAUGCCUUCGGGUGUCACUUCGGGAUAGGCUCGCGGCCUAUCAGCUUGUUGGUGAGGUAACGGCUCACCAAGGCGACGACGGGUACCUGGUCUGAGAGGACGAUCAGGCACACUGGAACUGAGACACGGUCCAGACACCUACGGGUGGCAGCAGUCGAGAAUCAUUCACAAUGGGGGAAACCCUGAUGGUGCAACGCCGCGUGGAGGAUGAAGGCCCUCGGGUCGUAAACUCCUGUCAUCAAGGAGUAAGCCUUGGUCGUUAAUAGCUUCCAAGGUUGAUAGUACUUGAAGAGGAAGGGACGGCUAACUUCG